RNAcentral lists this long non-coding RNA (437 nucleotides) under Trifolium pratense (red clover). RNAcentral describes it as "long non-coding RNA (TPRA_LNC005537)". Lineage: Eukaryota; Viridiplantae; Streptophyta; Magnoliopsida; Fabales; Fabaceae. The record is from RNAcentral.
UUGUUGCUUGCGUGAUUCACUAGCUAGAAAGGGGUCAAACAGUGUGCUAUUCACAAUUGCUUUUGGAUUUAGCUGCUGUUUGGAUAAAUGAUUCAUUUACCAUACAUUAAUUAACAUAUUGUAGUUAUUUACAUAUGAAUUAAGUUAUUUACAUAUUGUAAGUGUUCAAUGAUCCCACGACGUUAACAGAGGAGGAGCUGUAUGAUUUGCGAGACCGCUGGACAACUUGUUUUCUUGACCUAUAUAAUCCCGAGGUAGAUUAUGAUGAUGCCGACGAGAAAGAUUAGGAGCUAGCUAGGUUUGUGUGAAGUUACAAUGGACUAGUUAUGAUUAUGUUUUAAUUUGUAUUUUGGAUGGAUUAGUAUUAAUUAUUAUGAUGUUUUGUAUUUGGAUUUCAAUGGUUGUACUUUAAUGACAUUAUUACUAUAUAUAUGUUG